CUUAUUUUUGCUAUCAUCGAGGAUUUUUUGCUGCAUGGACAGAUCUAGCAGUCAAACUGAAUUUAAUCUGACAGAUUGGGUGGCUCGUGUGCGGCCGGCCAAAAAUUUCGAUUGACGCGCCGGCGCAGUUCAGCGCCCUUUUAUGUUUUACCGCUGCCGCUUCUUUCUUCAGAUACUUUGGAUAAAAUGCAGUCGUCCAGCAAGUCAUUUUCUGGUGCCCAACAUUUACAUGGACUAAGGAAUGAUAAAGAUAGAGGCUUAAAUACCCG
RNAcentral lists this long non-coding RNA (269 nucleotides) under Hordeum vulgare. RNAcentral describes it as "long non-coding RNA (HVUL_LNC014452)". The record is from RNAcentral. Lineage: Eukaryota; Viridiplantae; Streptophyta; Magnoliopsida; Poales; Poaceae.